RNAcentral lists this ribosomal RNA (261 nucleotides) under Theileria ovis. RNAcentral describes it as "partial 18S ribosomal RNA". It matches the Rfam family "Eukaryotic small subunit ribosomal RNA", at positions 595 to 889 of the family's 1831-position model. Lineage: Eukaryota; Apicomplexa; Aconoidasida; Piroplasmida; Theileriidae. The record is from RNAcentral.
UAGCGUAUAUUAAAAUUGUUGCAGUUAAAAAGCUCGUAGUUGAAUUUCUGCUGCAUUGCUUUUGCUCCUUUACGAGUCUUUGCAUUGUGGCUUAUUUCGGACUUUGUUUUACAAUGUCCGGAUGUUUACUUUGAGAAAAUUAGAGUGCUCAAAGCAGGCUUUCGCCUUGAAUAGUUUAGCAUGGAAUAAUAAAGUAGGACUUUGGUUCUAUUUUGUUGGUUUUAGGUACCAAAGUAAUGGUUAAUAGGAACAGUUGGGGGC